This 253-nucleotide ribosomal RNA is filed under the name uncultured bacterium. Its description in RNAcentral is "partial 16S ribosomal RNA". It matches the Rfam family "Bacterial small subunit ribosomal RNA", at positions 524 to 776 of the family's 1533-position model. The record is from RNAcentral.
UACGUAGGGUCCAAGCGUUGUCCGGAUUUAUUGGGUUUAAAGGGUGCGUAGGCGGCUUAUUAAGUCAGGGGUGAAAGACGGUGGCUCAACCAUCGCAGUGCCUUUGAUACUGAUGAGCUUGAAUAUACUAGAGGUAGGCGGAAUGUGACAAGUAGCGGUGAAAUGCAUAGAUAUGUCACAGAACACCGAUUGCGAAGGCAGCUUACUAUGGUAUUAUUGACGCUGAGGCACGAAAGCGUGGGGAUCAAACAGG